ACGGAAGGCAGCAGUGGGGAAUAUUGCACAAUGGGCGAAAGCCUGAUGCAGCGACGCCGCGUGAGCGAAGAAGUAUUUCGGUAUGUAAAGCUCUAUCAGCAGGGAAGAUAAUGACGGUACCUGACUAAGAAGCACCGGCUAAAUACGUGCCAGCAGCCGCGGUAAUACGUAUGGUGCAAGCGUUAUCCGGAUUUACUGGGUGUAAAGGGAGCGUAGGCGGUUUUACAAGUCUGAUGUGAAAGCCCGGGGCUCAACUCCGGUAUUGCAUUGGAAACUGUAGAACUAGAGUGUCGGAGGGGUAAGUGGAAUUCCUAGUGUAGCGGUGAAAUGCGUAGAUAUUAGGAGGAACACCAGUGGCGAAGGCGGCUUACCGGACGAUUACUGACGCUGAGGCUCGAAAGCGUGGGGAGCAAACAGGAUUAGAUACCCUGGUA
Molecule: ribosomal RNA, 434 nt
Filed under: uncultured Pseudobutyrivibrio sp.
Lineage: Bacteria; Bacillati; Bacillota; Clostridia; Lachnospirales; Lachnospiraceae
Description: partial 16S ribosomal RNA
Rfam family: Bacterial small subunit ribosomal RNA
Source: RNAcentral